RNAcentral lists this ribosomal RNA (805 nucleotides) under uncultured fungus. Its description in RNAcentral is "eukaryotic LSU rRNA". It matches the Rfam family "Eukaryotic large subunit ribosomal RNA", at positions 24 to 664 of the family's 3401-position model. The record is from RNAcentral. Lineage: Eukaryota; Fungi.
CCCGCUGAACUUAAGCAUAUUAUUAAGCGGAGGAAAAGAAACUAACAAGGAUGCCCUCAGUAACGGCGAGUGAAGCGGGCAAAGCUCAACCCGAAAAUCGGAUUCCUUAGCGGGAUUUCGAAUUGUGGGGUUCUGACGCGUGAUCAGUGUGUGGCCCAGGUAUAAAUCUCUUUGAAACGAGGUAUCAUAGAGGGUGAGAAUCCCGUCUGUGACUUGGUGUCCGCCGCGUACGAUCCGUGUUCGCAGAGUCGCGUUGUUUGGGAUUGCAGCGCUAAAUGGGUGGUAAAUUUCAUCUAAAGCUAAAUAUCGACGAGAGACCGAUAGCGAACAAGUACCGUGAGGGAAAGAUGAAAAGAACUUUGAAAAGAGAGUUAAAAAGUACUUGAAAUUGCUAAGAGGGAAGCACUGGAAACCAGUCGUGACUCGCGUGUAUAUUUAGCCUUUGCUCCUGGAUCCGCGUCGUGUGGAGAGCCCAAAGCCUUCUAGCGAUUCGGUGAAAUGGUGGGGGUGCCCUGUACUGUGAGUUGAGUCAGAAUCAAUUUGAUGCGUGAGAGAAAGCUAUCACAACGGUAGGACCGCGGGGGCAACUUCAAGGUCUGUUUAGUGUGGUAGUCCUAUCAUGCGUUAGAUUGAGGGACAAUCGAAAAGCGCACCACUAGGUUUUCGGUUCCCCGACCCUGGGGUCUCAAGUGGCGUGUACACCAAAGAUGUGCUGUCGCUGAAGGGCCUUACUGGAAGGGAUGAACUAGAAGCAGCUUUCGAGAUUCUGACGAAAUGGUUUUCAUUGCCCUGUCUUGAAACACGG